This 389-nucleotide ribosomal RNA is filed under the name Macaca fascicularis (crab-eating macaque). RNAcentral's name for it is "12S rRNA". It matches the Rfam family "Bacterial small subunit ribosomal RNA", at positions 794 to 1384 of the family's 1533-position model. Lineage: Eukaryota; Metazoa; Chordata; Mammalia; Primates; Cercopithecidae. The record is from RNAcentral.
GCUUGGCCCUAAACCUCAGUAGUUAGAUAACAAAACUACUCGCCAGAAUACUACAAGCAACAGCUUAAAACUCAAAGGACUUGACGGUGCUUUACAUCCCCCUAGAGGAGCCUGUUCCGUAAUCGAUAAACCCCGAUCCACCCUACCCUCUCUUGCUCAGCCUAUAUACCGCCAUCUUCAGCAAACCCUAAUGAGGGCCACAAAGUGAGCGCAAACGCCAUCGCCGCGAAUACGUUAGGUCAAGGUGUAGCCCAUGAGACGGUAAAAAAUGGGCUACAUUUUCUAUUUCAGAAAACCCACGAAAACCCUUAUGAAACUUAAGGGUCCAAGGAGGAUUUAGCAGUAAAUUAAGAAUAGAGUGCUUAAUUGAACCAGGCCAUAAAGCGCGC